This is a long non-coding RNA of Larimichthys crocea (large yellow croaker), 147 nucleotides long. RefSeq lists it as uncharacterized. The transcript is spliced from 3 exons. NCBI's taxonomy places the organism in Eukaryota, Metazoa, Chordata, Actinopteri, Sciaenidae. The record is from RefSeq and is a predicted model, not a curated record.
AUCCUGAGCGCCCUCUCUGGUCUGUGCUGCAUGAUAGCAGUUUCCUGGUAUGCCUUCAUGGUAGUGGAGGACUUCAACAAUCCGUUCCUCGGUGGUGUGAAGUUCGAGCUGGGCACCGGCCUCUACCUGGGCUGGGGUGGAGCCUCU